This 322-nucleotide ribosomal RNA is filed under the name uncultured bacterium. RNAcentral's name for it is "bacterial SSU rRNA". It matches the Rfam family "Bacterial small subunit ribosomal RNA", at positions 345 to 662 of the family's 1533-position model. The record is from RNAcentral.
UAGCCAGUAAGGGAAUCUUCGGCAAUGGGCGAAAGCCUGACCGAGCAACGCNGCGUGAAGGAAGAAGGAAUUCGUUCUGUAAACUUCUGUCAUAGAGGAAGAAUGGUAUCGCCAGGGAAUGGGUGAUAUGUGACGGUACUCUAUAAGAAAGCCACGGCUAACUACGUGCCAGCAGCCGCGGUAAUACGUAGGUGGCGAGCGUUAUCCGGAAUUAUUGGGCGUAAAGAGGGAGCAGGCGGCACUAAGGGUCUGUGGUGAAAGCCCGAAGCUUAACUUCGGCGAGCCAUGGAAACCGUAGAGCUAGAGUGUGUGAGAGGAUCGU